CCUACGGGAGGCAGCAGUGGGGAAUAUUGCACAAUGGGCGAAAGCCUGAUGCAGCGACGCCGCGUGAGGGAUGACGGCCUUCGGGUUGUAAACCUCUUUCAGCAGGGAAGAAGCGAAAGUGACGGUACCUGCAGAAGAAGCGCCGGCUAACUACGUGCCAGCAGCCGCGGUAAUACGUAGGGCGCAAGCGUUGUCCGGAAUUAUUGGGCGUAAAGAGCUCGUAGGCGGCUUGUCACGUCGGUUGUGAAAGCCCGGGGCUUAACCCCGGGUCUGCAGUCGAUACGGGCAGGCUAGAGUGUGGUAGGGGAGAUCGGAAUUCCUGGUGUAGCGGUGAAAUGCGCAGAUAUCAGGAGGAACACCGGUGGCGAAGGCGGAUCUCUGGGCCAUUACUGACGCUGAGGAGCGAAAGCGUGGGGAGCGAACAGGAUUAGAUACCCUGGUAGUCCACGCCGUAAACGGUGGGAACUAGGUGUUGGCGACAUUCCACGUCGUCGGUGCCGCAGCUACGCAUAACGUUACCCGUCCGUCGGGAGGUACGGCCGCGACGACGUAAACUACAAUAGAAGUAGACGGCGUGAGACGUGCCGACGGACGACGACGAGGGAGGUAGG
RNAcentral lists this ribosomal RNA (611 nucleotides) under uncultured bacterium. RNAcentral's name for it is "bacterial SSU rRNA". The stretch from base 1 to 524 matches the Rfam family "Bacterial small subunit ribosomal RNA", at positions 338 to 873 of the family's 1533-position model. The record is from RNAcentral.